GAGGCAGCAGUAGGGAAUCUUCGGCAAUGGACGAAAGUCUGACCGAGCAACGCCGCGUGAGUGAAGAAGGUUUUCGGAUCGUAAAACUCUGUUGUUAGAGAAGAACAAGGACGUUAGUAACUGAACGUCCCCUGACGGUAUCUAACCAGAAAGCCACGGCUAACUACGUGCCAGCAGCCGCGGUAAUACGUAGGUGGCAAGCGUUGUCCGGAUUUAUUGGGCGUAAAGCGAGCGCAGGCGGUUUCUUAAGUCUGAUGUGAAAGCCCCCGGCUCAACCGGGGAGGGUCAUUGGAAACUGGGAGACUUGAGUGCAGAAGAGGAGAGUGGAAUUCCAUGUGUAGCGGUGAAAUGCGUAGAUAUAUGGAGGAACACCAGUGGCGAAGGCGGCUCUCUGGUCUGUAACUGACGCUGAGGCUCGAAAGCGUGGGGAGCAAACAGGAUUAGAUACCCUGGUAGUCCACGCCGUAAACGAUGAGUGCUAAGUGUUGGAGGGUUUCCGCCCUUCAGUGCUGCAGCAAACGCAUUAAGCACUCCGCCUGGGGA
This 543-nucleotide ribosomal RNA is filed under the name uncultured Enterococcus sp. Its description in RNAcentral is "bacterial SSU rRNA". It matches the Rfam family "Bacterial small subunit ribosomal RNA", at positions 345 to 879 of the family's 1533-position model. Lineage: Bacteria; Bacillati; Bacillota; Bacilli; Lactobacillales; Enterococcaceae. The record is from RNAcentral.